RNAcentral lists this ribosomal RNA (772 nucleotides) under uncultured bacterium. RNAcentral's name for it is "bacterial SSU rRNA". It matches the Rfam family "Bacterial small subunit ribosomal RNA", at positions 60 to 822 of the family's 1533-position model. The record is from RNAcentral.
AGUCGGACGGGAUCCGCUGGUAGCCUGCUACCGGUUGGUGAGAGUGGCGCACGGGUGCGUAACGCGUGAGCAACCUACCCAUAUCAGGGGGAUAGCCCGAAGAAAUUCGGAUUAACACCGCAUGACACAGAUUUACCGCAUGGUUUAUUUGUCAAAUAUUCAUAGGAUAUGGAUGGGCUCGCGUGACAUUAGCUAGUUGGUGGGGUAACGGCCCACCAAGGCGACGAUGUCUAGGGGCUCUGAGAGGAGAAUCCCCCACACUGGUACUGAGACACGGACCGGACUCCUACGGGAGGCAGCAGUAAGGAAUAUUGGUCAAUGGGGGCAACCCUGAACCAGCCAUGCCGCGUGCAGGAUGACUGCCCUAUGGGUUGUAAACUGCUUUUGUUAGGGAAUAAACCCCACUACGUGUAGUGGGCUGAAUGUACCUAAAGAAUAAGGAUCGGCUAACUCCGUGCCAGCAGCCGCGGUGAUACGGAGGAUCCGAGCGUUAUCCGGAUUUAUUGGGUUUAAAGGGUGCGUAGGCGGCACUUUAAGUCAGGGGUGAAAGACGGCAGCUCAACUGUCGCAGUGCCCUUGAUACUGAAGUGCUUGAAUGCGGUUGAAGACGGCGGAAUGAGACAAGUAGCGGUGAAAUGCAUAGAUAUGUCUCAGAACACCGAUUGCGAAGGCAGCUGUCUAAGCCGUUAUUGACGCUGAUGCACGAAAGCGUGGGGAUCGAACAGGAUUAGAUACCCUGGUAGUCCACGCCCUAAACGAUGAUGACUCGAUG